GACGAACGCUGGCGGCGUGCUUAACACAUGCAAGUCGAACGCUGAAGCUCAGCUUUUGUUGGGUGGAUGAGUGGCGAACGGGUGAGUAACACGUGAGUAACCUGCCUCCUUCUUUGGGAUAACGCCCGGAAACGGGUGCUAAUACUGGAUAUUCACUGGUCUUCGCAUGGGGGUUGGUGGAAAGGGUUUUUCUGGUGGGGGAUGGGCUCGCGGCCUAUCAGCUUGUUGGUGGGGUGAUGGCCUACCAAGGCUUUGACGGGUAGCCGGCCUGAGAGGGUGACCGGUCACAUUGGGACGGAGAUACGGCCCAGACUCCUACGGGAGGCAGCAGUGGGGAAUAUUGCACAAUGGGCGCAAGCCUGAUGCAGCGACGCCGCGGGAGGGAUGGAGGCCUUCGGGUUGUGAACCUCUUUCGCUCAUGGUCAAGCCGCAACAAUGGUUGUGGUGAGGGUAGUGGGUAAAGAAGCGCCGGCUAACUACGUG
RNAcentral lists this ribosomal RNA (483 nucleotides) under uncultured bacterium. RNAcentral describes it as "partial 16S ribosomal RNA". It matches the Rfam family "Bacterial small subunit ribosomal RNA", at positions 28 to 507 of the family's 1533-position model. The record is from RNAcentral.